RNAcentral lists this long non-coding RNA (902 nucleotides) under Homo sapiens (human). RNAcentral's name for it is "non-protein coding lnc-SYNJ2BP-1:2". The record is from RNAcentral. Lineage: Eukaryota; Metazoa; Chordata; Mammalia; Primates; Hominidae.
GAAACCGCUGUGCUGUGGGCGCAGCGCCGAGAUUGAUUCACCUUCACCUGUGCUGCACUCCAGCUGACCCAAGUAGGAAGCCAGACGAGCUGUAAAACAUGAACGGAAGAGUGGAUUAUUUGGUCACUGAGGAAGAGAUCAAUCUUACCAGAGGGCCCUCAGGUAAAUGGCCAAGACCUAAAGAACCUGCUGCACCAGGAUGCUGUAGACCUCUUUCGUAAUGCAGGCUAUGCUGUGUCUCUGAGAGUGCAGCACAGGUUACAGGUGCAGAAUGGACCUAUAGGACAUCGAGGUGAAGGGGACCCAAGUGGUAUUCCCAUAUUUAUGGUGCUGGUGCCAGUGUUUGCCCUCACCAUGGUAGCAGCCUGGGCUUUCAUGAGAUACCGGCAACAACUUUGAAAAACUUGCUCUCUUUCAAUACUCCCAAUGAAGAUACAUUUCACUCACCCUCCACCCCUGCUAUUCUGCCAUGUCUUUCCCUCUCUCUGCAUAGCCAGAUUUGAAGUGACUGAUACCCACCCCAAACCUUGCUGUUCACAGUCUCCAAUUCUUCAUAUUCUAAUGGGAAAGUAAAGGUAUUGUUUGAAGGAAAACUGAAGAAAAGACUUGGCUUAGAACAAAUGAGGAGUUAUAUAUUUUACUAGGACUUUUGAUAGAAAUUCAGCUACAACCCAAAGAGAGAAAGAUUGAGUCUUCCUGUCACCAUAGGCAAUACCUUUUUUCUUAGCUGGCAUGCCAUAAAGGCCAGCUAUGUGAUAUUAGAGGAAGAAAGGAUUUUUCUUUUUAAUGAUCUUCCUUGGGAAAUUAUUGUGGCCUUUAUUUAAUUUCUAACUACGUACCUGGGUGCCUAUAUCGACAAAGAGUGAGAAGAGCAUUUUUACUUUUUUAAAAAAGCAAAUACA